This 261-nucleotide long non-coding RNA is filed under the name Elaeis guineensis (African oil palm). Its description in RNAcentral is "long non-coding RNA (EGUI_LNC058348)". Lineage: Eukaryota; Viridiplantae; Streptophyta; Magnoliopsida; Arecales; Arecaceae. The record is from RNAcentral.
UGGUAUGAAAGCAAUAAAAGAUUCUGAGGUGCUCUGUGCUGAAGGCAGGUCCUAUAAUACCAAGAGGGUGGCUUCAGUGCCAUUGCAUGUGACUUUGGCGAUGUCGAGCGUGAAGAUGCGGGACAAGCCUCGGAGCCCCCCAAUGAGAGACUUCAAGACCAUUAAAGGCCAGACCCAUUUUUGGGGUCGUCCGUGCAUAUGGGAGAAGUGCGGCCGCUCGUGGGGUUUGCGCAUAGAUGGCCUCAUCAUGCUCUGAAGUCA